CUAAAUGGUGGUUGUGCGCAGGGCGUCCUCGGGCGCGCCGGGUUUUGCCAAUCCUGCCGGUCUACUAACCUGCGUACAGCCGCCACCCUU
Molecule: non-coding RNA, 90 nt
Filed under: Pseudomonas sp. NFACC05-1
Lineage: Bacteria; Pseudomonadati; Pseudomonadota; Gammaproteobacteria; Pseudomonadales; Pseudomonadaceae
Source: RNAcentral